RNAcentral lists this transfer RNA (74 nucleotides) under Christensenellaceae bacterium. Its description in RNAcentral is "tRNA-Trp". It matches the Rfam family "tRNA". From Rfam's summary of the family: Transfer RNA (tRNA) molecules are approximately 80 nucleotides in length. The record is from RNAcentral. Lineage: Bacteria; Bacillati; Bacillota; Clostridia; Christensenellales; Christensenellaceae.
AGGAGCAUAGUAUAGUGGUAGUACAAAAGUCUCCAAAACUUUUGGUUAAGGUUCGAUUCCUUAUGCUCCUGCCA